This 497-nucleotide ribosomal RNA is filed under the name uncultured bacterium. RNAcentral's name for it is "partial 16S ribosomal RNA". It matches the Rfam family "Bacterial small subunit ribosomal RNA", at positions 28 to 507 of the family's 1533-position model. The record is from RNAcentral.
GAUGAACGCUGGCGGCGUGCCUAAUACAUGCAAGUCGAGCGAACGGACGAGAAGCUUGCUUCUCUGAUGUUAGCGGCGGACGGGUGAGUAACACGUGGAUAACCUACCUAUAAGACUGGGAUAACUUCGGGAAACCGGAGCUAAUACCGGAUAAUAUUUUGAACCGCAUGGUUCAAAAGUGAAACACGGUCUGCCGGUCACUUUUGGAGGGUUCCACGCUGCAUUAGCUAGUUGGUAGGGUAAAGCCUUACCAAGGCAACGAUGCAAAGCAGGCCUGAGAGGGUGAUCGGCCACACUGGAACUGAGACACGGUCCAGACUCCUACGGGAGGCAGCAGUAGGGAAUCUUCCGCAAUGGGCGAAAGCCUGACGGAGCAACGCCGCGUGAGUGAUGAAGGUCUUCGGAUCGUAAAACUCUGUUAUUAGGGAAGAACAUAUGUGUAAGUAACUGUGCACAUCUUGACGGUACCUAAUCAGAAAGCCACGGCUAACUACGUG